This 669-nucleotide long non-coding RNA is filed under the name Capra hircus (goat). Its description in RNAcentral is "lncRNA (ENSCHIG00000002256.1)". Lineage: Eukaryota; Metazoa; Chordata; Mammalia; Artiodactyla; Bovidae. The record is from RNAcentral.
CGCCGCAUCAUCUCGCGUGAGUGCCGGGGAGCGGGUCGGCCUGAUCUCUGCUUCCACAGAGCUGCGAAAAAGCAGGAGGCUGCUGGAAAGGCUGUGGUCCAGGAGCAAUUGUCGGGUGAAUGGACUGCUCUAGCAUUUACUGCUACUUGGCCUGAGGUUGCAGACAAGUCUGCAGGUGCCCUCUGUGCCCAUCCAGCAGUUAUCUUCUGAAGACUGCAGCGCUCAUCCUGCCACUAGGGACUGGACUGCAGCUCCCUGCUCAGGCCACUAAACAGUGUCUAGUGACCACGAAAGAAUGGCCGAGACAGCCCACUUGCUCUGGAGCCUGCAGUUGGGAUCCUGGGAAAACCAGCAGACACUGUGAAAGGGACAACUACUGCUUUCUUGUCUGUGUGUACCCACGUGUGCAUGCGUGCGUGUGCCUGCACAUGCCUGAAAGUUUGGCAUGUCUUUCUGCCUCUCAGGGCAGGCAGUUUGUCAGUUCUUAUGUUUAUGAGGUCAGCCAUCAGGUUGGGAACCCCAAGAAUAUGGUCAGAGAUUUGGGGUGCAUCCCAAUAACAGUCUAAUAUACUACACAUCAUUGCCAGCUCUCAAGGGGGAUUUUCUAGGUCUUUCUUUAUGCUACCUUUGGAUGUGACUGUGAAUCUUAAGAGAAUUGCUUCUUUUGUA